Molecule: long non-coding RNA, 412 nt
Organism: Octopus sinensis (East Asian common octopus)
Lineage: Eukaryota; Metazoa; Mollusca; Cephalopoda; Octopoda; Octopodidae
Exons: 3
Source: RefSeq, a predicted model, not a curated record
UGUCAGUUUAUUCAGGUCGAAUGAUCCCAGACAAAUUGAAUAAGACGAAUUAAAACCUAAGCAACGUUUUUGGACGAUGACCUGAUACAGCAUCUGUUUGCUUCUACAGCUGUUGUGCAAAUUAAGGCCGUCCAACUAUUACAGACUAAUUAAGCCACACCACACUGUUAUCUGUCCAUGAUGGAAGAUUCUCCCAAAUUGACUCUCUAUAAUUUUGAUGAUCCCCAGUAUGACAACUGCAGCUAUGUGCUGACCAGUCCACGCUCCCUGGAAGCAUGUUCCAGGAUGGGAGUAAAGCCAGUUGACCUUCUCUAUACACCUCCCACUGACCAAGAUCAUCAGAUUUGCCAUCUUCUAUAUCCUGGUACACUCUGUAGCAGACUUCACAACGAACAAGAGGACCUGAGACAUC